Molecule: ribosomal RNA, 253 nt
Filed under: uncultured bacterium
Lineage: Bacteria
Description: partial 16S ribosomal RNA
Rfam family: Bacterial small subunit ribosomal RNA
Source: RNAcentral
UACAGGGGGGGCAAGCGUUGUUCGGAAUUACUGGGCGUAAAGGGUUUGUAGGUGGCUUGCUCAGUCAGACGUGAAAUCCCUCAGCUUAACUGGGGAACUGCGUCUGAUACUAGCGAGCUUGAGUGCAGGAGAGGAACGCGGAAUUCCAGGUGUAGCGGUGAAAUGCGUAGAUAUCUGGAGAAACACCGGUGGCGAAGGCGGCGUUCUGGACUGCAACUGACACUGAAAAACGAAAGCCAGGGGAGCAAACGGG